AGCAGCAGGUUCCAAGCAAUAAGUAAAGCCUCGAUGAUCCUCAAGGUUCCAUCUCUGGGCAGGAAACAUCUUUAGAUCCUAACAAAUAUUGAAAUACACUAAAAUAAAGAAUAGCCAAGGUAUUUACAUUCACCUGCUAUUUUCUACGGGACUUAGAAAUGAAGGAGCUACAGUUUGUGUGUCAGUGAAGGAUGCAAAGUGUCUCUGGCCUCUCUCCUCAACAAGUCAUCACUCCGUUACUGGGCCUGAUGGUUAGUUCCGUACCAGAGCAGGAGGUCAGGUACCCCAGUAUCUUGUCUUGAAUAUUCAAGUCAGGGCAUGUGCAUCCAGACAUUUGUGACCUGCAGAGAUCUAAAUGGAACUGCUGGCUACCACUCAGCUCAAAAUAUGCUGCCUGGCCUGGCAUCCAGCAUUUUGUGUUUGUUGCUUGGAUAUCAGACAAGAUUUUCACUUGUUUGAGGCUAGUGGGAAACUACAUCUGCUGAGCCCCAUUUGGAGCAUAAAUUCCAACAUCAGCAGUCUUUUCUCUCUCCGAUAUGAAGAGCAACUGACAAGUGAAAGAGACAACAGCAGUGUAUUUGCAACAACAUAAUUGAAUACACUUUGGGAUGUGAGAGGAAACUGAAGCACCCAACGAUUACAAGGACAAUGCAAACUCACAGAAAACAGCACAGGAAAAGACACGCAAAGUCUGGUUGGCAGGCCUGACUGCAGCUAAGAAGAUUGUAGUCCAGCAUUCAAACCUCCCCAUGAUAUUUCAAAUACUCACUGGCUUCGGAGAUUUUUGGACAUUUCUUACCUGGAACUUUCAUCAGCAAGAGUAAAUGAUGCACAACCAAACACAAUCUUAAUGUGGACAAAUCUGAUAUCUAACUUAAAAGAACUUUUGUUAAAAUAGGAAUGCUUUGUCUGUGUAUGCACUACUAUUCAGUUGGU
Long non-coding RNA from Mobula hypostoma (lesser devil ray), 936 nucleotides. RefSeq lists it as uncharacterized. NCBI's taxonomy places the organism in Eukaryota, Metazoa, Chordata, Chondrichthyes, Myliobatiformes, Myliobatidae. The transcript is spliced from 5 exons. The record is from RefSeq and is a predicted model, not a curated record.